This 935-nucleotide long non-coding RNA is filed under the name Homo sapiens (human). Its description in RNAcentral is "long non-coding RNA NONHSAT157407.1". The record is from RNAcentral. Lineage: Eukaryota; Metazoa; Chordata; Mammalia; Primates; Hominidae.
UCUUGAGUCCAAAAGAGGAGAGAAAUCGCACCCCGAGAAGAAGGCGCGAGCUCGGUGGCUCCAGUCCUGCGGGAGCAGAGGGGACAGCAGACCUGCCCAGGUAGAGGGAGACGACUUCUGAGGUGCUGGAGGCUAUUUCUGGAUUUUGCGCGGCCUGGCGCUGGGUGCCACAGCCGGUGAAUGCGGGAGACCUGCAGCAGACCCGGCGCUGCCGCCAGAACCUGCUCACUACGCUCCACACAGCUCGUCAGGGCCCAACCUGAGCACUCCGCGGGCCUGCGGGGAUGGGGCGGAAAGGCUGGCUGCUGUCUUCGGACCCUGAACCCUCCCCUCUUUUUCUCUUUUCUUCAUGUCUACACAAGAGCCUUAGGGUCCUGCCCCGCAACAUGUCUCUCAAGUUCAGGUACCAAGGGCUGCCCCUGAAGCAUCAGCUCACACACCAAACCCAAGUAGCUGAAGGACGCUAGGGUCCGCAAGGAGGGGCAGAAUGGGCAGGCUCACUCGCAGGCCGACGCCACCGACGUGACGCUAGUGAUUUUGGUCGAGUCGUCAGACCACGGCUGCAGAUUCUGCAGGGCGAAGAGCGACGAGUUGUGCACGCACAGAGGGUCAGCGGGCAGCGGCUGUGCCAGGCUCUUCUGGAAGGCCUCCUGCUGCAACUGCAGGAGGAUGCGGUUCGCUUGCUGCCUCUCGGCCUCCCGUUCCUCCGCAGUCUGCCGUCUGCACCGGGAACAAGCCGUUACCUGCCAGGAGCACCGACCCAGCUCCCGCGUGUGCCCAACUCCUGGUGCGUUCCCAGGAGAUAAACUGAACGAGCGCUGCUCGCCUUUGCAGUCCCCAAAUCCAGUUUGGGCCCCUAUAACGCGUUCCCUUCUUUUGAGAGUCCUGACUCCAACAAAGACUGGAAACCCCAAAGCGGAUGGAGCCAAGGUAUC